Podarcis lilfordi (Lilford's wall lizard) is the source of this 9393-nucleotide non-coding RNA. The record is from the annotation of a GenBank genome assembly. Lineage: Eukaryota; Metazoa; Chordata; Lepidosauria; Squamata; Lacertidae.
GCAUAAAAAAGUCUUAAAGACACGCCUGGCGGUUGAACAAUAAUCAAGGCUAGCAGGGGUUGUUAGUUUGGGGCAGGAGCUGGUCUGCACUGCUGGUUGGUAUGGCUCCUCCCAUUGUGACUUUUCAUUUGCUGCUAUACAUAUCCUCUAAUAACACUUUAUAUGGGACCUCCUGGACCACUUUAUAUGGGACGUCCUGGUGAUACUGAUUAUUCCUGUUAGAGUAAUGAUCAAAUAUUUAUCCUAAAAUAAGAUAUGCAGUAACAUUUUGAGGUUGGUUCCUUGGGUGAAUCAUAGGAGGAAUUAUCAUGAAAUUAAAAAUAGUUAUUGAUAAGACAGGGAGGGAGUUCCCUGAUGACCUCUAGUUUCGUGGGGUCAUAGGCUGUGCUCCGCACAGGACUCCACUUGCCGGUUGGAAGGCAUCCUGCUUGCUUCAAGGGUUACUUGAAAUCUUUCUUUACCACCAAAAUCAGAGUAUUUGUUGAUAGAGGUUGUUAGAAGUAAAGACCAUAUUUAAUGUGUCUUUUUCAGUCCCUAUGACAGCAACGCAGAUCAGAGAAGACUGGAUUAGGAAUUAUUAUCAGUAAUUUAAGUUUAGUUGGCUGGAAAUGGAGGAUUCUGUUACAAUCUUGCUGAAGAAACUUAAUCUGGUGCUUUUGGAGAUGGGAUGCUUUGCUGAAUGGACCAUUAGGAAUAAUCAAAUUGCAUCAGACAUUUUCUUCCUCGUCCUUCUGAUGUUAUUUGUAUUAGAGAACUAUUUUUUAAUCCUGUAGAUAGAAAACAGAGGUAGCAGCACGAGCCUUUCCCCAUCUGUCAGGACCAUAUUUGCCCACUUUUGGAGUUUAAAUAGAGGGCAAUCUUUAUCAUCACAACCUAGUAGGUUUGGAAAUGCCUGGACAUGGGCCAACCUCGGUUCUCCAUUUAAUGAACUUUAAUUUCAAACCAAGAUUGAAUACACCAUGCACCUAUCUGGCUGUUGCUGCUCCAGAGCACAUAAUCCAUUCCUCCGCCUCACCCUGAGGAAGGAAGGCAUCUCACGUGAGGUGGUCUGGCUUUCCUGCAACAGCUGUAUAUUAAAUCUAGAUGAACAUUUAAGGUAACUUAAAUAUUUAACUAAUUUUAAACAGAAUGUCUAGCUGCAGCAAUAUUGCUGUUGUGUCACAGAUGAUUUUUCUCGGAGCACAACUGAGACUGAUAGUGCUGCCACCUCUAAUGCAGUGACAAAAUGCUUAUUUCAAAAGCAGGGAGAUGACUAGUAGAAAGACUAAUCAGAUGUUGGUAAGUAUCCUCUUAGUCCUUUCCUUUUAAAAAUUCUUUCUCACUCAUGGCUUUCCAUGUACAAAAAUGGAAGCUAACUAACUAUGAGAUCUCAGAAAAACAAAAGUUUCAUGCAAGCUUCUACAUGAGAUUUCUUAAUGAAACAAUUAAGAUUUCUCACCUUAUUUUAUUUUAUUUAUUUAUUAAAUUUGUUAGUUGCUUUAUCUUGCUCAAAGCAACUUACAACCAAAGGGGGAAAAAGAAAACACCCGCAUAAAUACAUUGAAAGCAAGGAGGAAGGGAAUUCAAUAAAUAUAGUAAAAAAAUUCCUAAAAGGCCAGAGGUAGUUGGAGGUCAAAGGUAAGUUCACCUGUCUAGUGUUUUAAUCUUUCAAUAUGUCAUUUGACUAGGUAAGUGCUAUCUUUCAAACCACUAUACUUAAUAGACAAGAUUUGGGUGAAGACCAAAAAUUGGCACAUGAACAGUAGAAAUAAGGCAAAGAGCCCAAUUCACACAAACUUGCAGGAGUUACGGCUUCUUAACAUGCAGCCACCUGAAGAUUUCCACAUUACAGCAAGGAGCUGAUGUGUUGCACCUUGCCAUGCAGAUUUAGUCAUUUUCACCUUACUCUUGCAGUUCUUUCAUUUUGACAAUUUUGCAAUUCCAGGUGAAAUCUACCAGAUGCACUUGGCGAUCCCCUUAAUUAUACAAAUUUCCAUGUUUACAUUUUAAGCAGAGCCAUGCUGUUUCUAGUUCAUCUGAAUUUUGCCUCAGAUUUUUGUAACGAGGUGACUCUGAGAGGAAUUCCCAUUUUAGAAACAGUGGGAUUUCCAGUGCUUAGAAGUAUAACAUGCGCACAUGCACUAUGCACAAACAUGCUGUGUUAGUGUUAAUGUACUGUUGUCUUUAAUGUUUUGGGUAGUAGAAUUUCCUUUUCUGUGCAUGACUCAUUUAUUCCUUCUCUGCAGUAAUUACAUGAUUGGGGGAUAAGUUGGCUUCCAUUUAGUUUAAAAUUUCUCUGCAUUUCAGAAUCGCAGCUGAACAAGCUGGUGAUAGGGCUCUGUUGCUGCUCAUUUGCUCCCUUGAGUCAGCUUUAGUAAAGGAAGAGCCCCCUUUCCUUUUCAGAUCAAAGCUUAUCUCCCUGCCACCCAAGAGCGCCUGAGAUAAUGUUGACCUCUUUAGCUUCUACUGCAUAUUUCCCCCUUUCCCCUUAUGGAAAGAAGGCAAGUGGGAGAAGAAUUAAGCAGGCAUCUUCUGGGGGGAAAAACCCUCAUGCCUCUCUGUCUUUUGUUGUUCAGCUUCAAAUGAAAGGAAUGUGAAGCAAAAGUGUUUAAAGGCAAAUAGAGUGAAAUUGAAAAACAGCAUCUCAGUUGCUCAGAGGGAGAGAUUGCUACUUUUGAGGCAUAGGCGGAGUUCUCUUUAGAAAGAUAGGAUUUGAAAAUGAAAAUUGCUAUUGCAGCAAAAGUACAGCAGAAGGUCUGCUAGGACUGAUUAGCCCCAUGACUCUUUAUAUUUGCUCCUGCAGUAGUUACUAUAACACAGAAGGAGAAAGAGAAAUUUUGGUGGAGGCUGAUUGAUUCACCUUCCUCUGUAUAUUAUUAAUAAUAAGUGUCUUAAUAGCAUAGUUUUUAUUGAUUUUUGCAUUUAAAUAUAUAAUCCACCUGGGAUGUAGUAAAAAAAAGCCAUGUCUAUAAUCUAUUUUGGUGAUAAUUAAUAAGCAUAUAUAAUGCCACAGCAUAUUCAAGAUGCAGUGUUUCAUAGUGAUGCCUACAGUAUUAUUAUCCUCAUAUUGCAGAUGAAGAACCUGAGAAUCAGAAAUCUGUGGCUUGCCUAAGGCUACUUGUUGAGUGCUUGGCAGAGGUGGAAUUCAAGAGAGGAGCAGCCUGAGUUAUAGUUGUCUCAUUAUGGAGUACUUAACACCAGCAAAGACUGGUACAUUUGUCCUUGACUGGUUCCCAUUACCAGUUCCCCUAGCCUAGUAUAUUGCCACAGUUACAGAAAGACUUUUAGUGGCAGCAAAGUUCCUAAUUUUAGGACUCCUGGAGACAGAGUUCCUUUAUUACUGCCAGGUGUGUUGGCCCUAUCUCAGCACUGUAAGGACUAGUUGCAUGGAGGAAGUAAUGAAAAGGUGGGUAACCUGUUGCCCUCCAGAUCCUGGACCGCAGUUCUCACCUUAUUUGACCAUUGGCCACACUGAUUGGAGCUAGAGUUCAGCAACAUCUGGCACAUUGACAUUUCCUGGAGGGCGCACUGACAUUUAUUUUGCAUUUCCCCCAGUAAUGCCAGCUGCCACCACUUACUGAACUGGAUCUGGUGUCUUUCAAAUGUGCUACUGUGAUCAUGUGAAUCACCAUUGGGAAAUGGCAGCUCUGUUUGGGGAAUCACAUGCUCACACACAUUCAAAUAGGGUCAGGGUCUUGUUUGCCCCAUCUUUAUUUUCUGUGCUCUGCCUGUCUCUCUAGGCCACAGACCUUAAGCAGACAGUCUGCUUUUAAUUCAUUGCCCUUUGAAUAAACCAACUGUGUUCGUCUGCCUACCUCUCCCCAUGCCAUAUGACACAUUUUCAAAAAACCGGUGUGGACUGCCUAUAGCAUUUGUUUUUCCUCCUUCCCCAAACAAAUGCACACACCAGUACUUGUCUUAAAAUAAUCCAUUAUCAUCCCUGUCUUUCUGAAGCACUGCCCUUGUUAUGUCUAAGACACCCAUGGGCAGCAUUUUCUUGAUUGAAGUGGUGGAUGCCAAACUCUUUAGAAAGGAGCUUGCAGCUGUGCAGUACUUUUUCUUUUGAGGAAAACCAGAGCUUUGCCAUUGAUUUAAUAUGUACCAACUUUGAGCAUUUAACCAAUGGGAGUGACAACAGUCAACCCCCCACCCCUCCAAUAGAUUUGUAUAUACAGGUGGGGGAGGAAAUAACGUCAUUUAAAUUGUGAGCCUCUAUGAAUAUGUAAAUAGCAUCCCUAGCAAACUGCCUUAUGCCAAGGAAGAUCAAUAAUCCAUCUAGCUCAAUGCUGUUUACACGGGGGGGGGGCGUGUUAGUCAAGGUGAUGCCCUCAAGAUGUUGUGUGCUCGCAUCAGCCUUGGCAAGCAUGGAUGAUGGGAGCUAUAGUCCAGCAACAUCUAGAGGGCAUCACGGUGAUGACUCCUUGUCUUUGCUGACUGACAGAAGCUAUUCAGGGCUUUUCAGAUGGGAAUAAUUGCCCACAUGUUCUGGAGAUGCCCAGAGAACCUGGGACUUUUUCUAAGCAAAGCUACAGCCCUUCGUUGUUACUCUUUUAAUCAAGCUACUUUUCCCAUCACAUUUCAACAUUUGUGUUGGGAUUAAUGUGACUGGCAGCUGAAUCCCAAUGAACAAGACUUCUGGAGACGAAUUCCACAUUGUUCUUUCUAUCUCUCUCAGCAACUGGAUUUGAGAGCACCAGCACAGCCGUGCAUCAGCUGCAUUUCAUUGUGCUGGGGAUGAAUAAUCAAAAAGGGAAUAGCUGGUGGAUAUAAAUUAAGCAUUUUGUUGAGCUUCCCCAUUUGCUGCUGAACAGUAGUGUAAUGUCAGAGAAGAGGAUGAAAGAAUACAUGAGCACAGUAUGCUUAAGUGAUAAAUCUAUUGUUAUAGGGAAGCGCCCCCACAGAGCCUACUGAGGCUGAUGCCUGGAAUUCCAUUAGAUUUACUUAUAGACAGCUUUUCAACACAAGGUCGUUUCCAACAUACCAAUAUAGACUGAAGGAGAUCAAACGUGGUGUCCAGCUGACACCAAUCAGAGCAGAGCAGCCACUCUGUUCCUACCCUAUUACAGCACUACUGUCAGUUAGUCCUCUCUGGGCUGAAGGGGUGACAGGCUGUCCAUGAGGCAGCAGGUGGCAAGGGGGGCACCAUAACCCAAUUGCCACUGUGGGGGGCAUCAGCAGCACCAUGCCAUGGGUGGCAUGGCAGUAGCCUGGCAGUAGCCCCGGGCUAUCCUGUAAACUAUUAGAAGGGUAUCAGAGAAUUAAAAAUUGGAAGAGGAAGGAAGAGUUUGUUUAGAAGACUGCAGGUUAGCAGUCUUAUAGGGAAUAUAAAAGGUAGUAACUUUGUACAAUUACAAAAUGCAUCCUUAAAAGGAAAGAUUUUCUGACCACCCUCAAUCAAUGCAGUUUGGAGAUUGGCUCUGAUCCUGCAUAAACAUCUUCUCUCUUACACAGGCAGCUAAAUAUUACACAGGCAGGUAAUAUUGUCUGGUAGUUUACCCCCAUCCUUGAACCACUUCUCCCAAACCCUGCAGAGUGAUUUUUAAAAAAAUAAUAGGGCAUUGUUUAUUUCAAUUUUUUGGUCUCUUGAUUAUUUUGAUAUUGACCAAUCAUUUUUAUGCCCAGAAGAAGCCUUUGGGAAGCUAUAUUAUGCUAUAGCUUUUUUCAUUUCAAACUUCAAGGGCAAUUGUUAAUGAAAUGAGUAAGUUAAAACAAAAUGCUCACACUGAUGUGGUUACAUUAAAAGUUGAAAACCGAAAGCUCGGGAUUCUUGAAAACAAAACGGUAUUCACAAAUUGUUAAAUGUGGAAGAAGAAAAAAAUAUUAUUUCCUGCUGCUGUGACAUAUAGAACAUUUUGUUCCAGGCCUGGCAUCCUACAUUCAUCUAGCCCUAUGAUUUCUGCUCCCUUUCUUUGUCUACCUCAUCAUCGCCCAGGACCUCACAUUAACAUAACACAAUGUUUUUCUGUAGCUGGAGAUUAAACAAAAAUGCCUGCCAAAGCUUUAGGCACUUAAUUUGUUUAAAAGAAAAGAAAAAAUCAGAAGGGCAGAUAAGAAACAAAGUUCUGCUCUAUUCUGAUUCUACAUACACGGAUACUGCAGACUACCUUUUAUUUUCGGAAUGGAGCCAAGCAGAGAAAUUGGCUUUUUAAAGAAACAGGCCAUGAACCCUCACGACAGUGGUGUAGCUUUGCUUUAAGGUUUCCAGACAUGUUGCUGUUGUUGUAAUGGCAAUAAAGAGUCUUGUGUCAGUUGAAGAUUAACAAAUAGAUUAUGGCAUGUGCUUUCGUGGACUACAGUCUACUUAUUAUGCCAUAAUAAAUUUAUGUCUUUAACGUGCCACAAUACUUUGAAUUGCAUUUGGACUAGGUGUCAGGCAGGAGGUUCUGAUGAAGACUCUCCACUUCAGACCUCUCUCCUGCAUUACAUGGGAGGGACCAAUGGGGCUGAUUUACAGGAAUACAACAGAAGCUAUGGGGCCUAUAAGUGAGUCUCCAUACUCUCCUCCACGCUGAUAUGAUCACAUGGGGGAUCAUAGGGCUACGGUCUUGAUCAAAUCUUUAUGAUGUCAAGCUUUCUACUUUUGAAGUCACUCUCAUUACAUAUUUAUCAAGUGUCACUCUUUUUCUUUCUUUCAGUCCUAUGUACACUUACCUGGGAGCAACACACCAGUGAACACAGUGGGACUUACUCAUAGGAUUAGUUUGUGCCAUAUUUAAAUAUUUAAUCUAGCAGAUAACACGCCUGCCGCACGUCUACCUAGCUAAAGCUGGCAGCCAAAUGGUUUUGCAGAUGGGUUUUCUCUCUUCCUCCUCCUCCUACACUUUCAAAACAGCAGUCAGUAACUUGAACCCAAGAUAAGAUUUAUAUUAGAAUAAAUACAUGCUUUUUAAAUACACAGUGAAAGGUGUAGGCUGAGAUAUUAGACACAAAUGUUUGGAGUGAUUCACUGUGGCAUGAUACAUUCCAUUGUAGCAGAAAAGAGAACCCAGUCCAAAACACCUAAGGUUUUAUUGAUCUGCAAGUUUUCAGUGCAACUGGACAUGUUAAAAAAUUGAAUAUUUUAUGAAUGUACUGUAUUCAUAUCUAUGAGCAUUUAUCAAUUAUAGAACAAUUGUAUUGAUUAUCAUACAUUUCCUCAGUUUAAAUAAUGGAUGAUUGCAGGAAAGAAUCGAUCCAUUAAUUAUUGUGUUUCUUCUCACUUCCAGCCUGAAGCCUUGUUCAGGCAUUUGCCAUCGACUGUGUGAAGGGGUUCUGUAGGAAGGCAGAGCCUCAGUGACACCUCACAUGCUAGCAGAUGUGUGGUUGGCUGAGCCUGAAGAGAAGGGUCACCUUAAUUACAUGCAGGGUUUCCAAUGAGGGACAGCAGACCUAGCCCAUUAGUGAGCCCAUCCCUGUUUUGAAAACACUCUGCACAGUAAAGGUGCACUGCUUUAGAUUUGGCCAAUCAUGUGCCAACUUGAGAGCAUUGUCAGCAUGUGUGGUGCCACUGUGAUUCAGGUGUGUGCAUGUGUGUACGUGCAUACCUACUUUCAACUUAAAAUGUGGAAGAGGAGUCAGGAGAAGAAUCCUAGUUCAUUUCUCUUUAUCCUGUUUGCGGCAGCACUUAUUUCUUCCUAGCAAAAGAACAGAGAAUGAUGCCUGAAGAAAUGUUUUAAACUGAAUGUCGAGUGACAUUUGGCUUCAAAUGAUAUGAACUCAUUUUCUACCUAGGAUUGGUAAAAAUGCUCAGCAUUCUAUCAAAUAAGCAAAGGCUUGGUGUCAAACUAUAUAUUUGCCUAGCUAAAUUAGACUGGGACUGUAGCAAAACUUUCACAAGAUUUGAAAUUUAGUUUGAACUUUCCAAGGUUUGAUUUAAAAAAGAAACCGAUGGCUUGGGUAUAAAAGUAUCAUCAUUAAUGUUUGUGAAUUUAUAGUGUGAAUAGUCAUGUUACCCUAAUUUUGAAUUCAUGCUCUGAGACAUGAGUCCUACAUGGGUGUUCAGUUCCUCCAUGUGACUGUAAUAGCUUGCGGGAGAGCAGGUGAAUGGAAGCUAGCCCCACCCUCUCUAUCUUGCCCCCAUGCCCAGUUUGGCUGCCCUCUGAUCUUUGGAAGGUGGCCAACUGCAGCUGUAGUUGUGAAGGAUUCCCACCAGAUUUAGACACCUGAGUAUGUAGAGAGCCCUGUGGACGCUCGCUGUCCAUUGAAUGGAAGAUGGUUGGGGUGGUGGGAGGCAAGACUGUAGCCACCAGCACAUUCAUGAUCAAUCAAGAAUAAUGAGUAUAUUGAUGAGUGUAUUGACUGAAUAGGAUAAUGAUCAAUCAGUUCUACAUUCCACAUCCUGUCGUUUGGGAUCUUCCUUAUGAGAAAACGCAGAUGGAAAUUGGGACUUCUGGUAAGUUUGCUUGAAAACAUGGCCAACAUGUUGAUGUAGGCCAUGGCCUGUAGCUGUAAUUGAGGUAGCCAUGCUCCAAAACUAAAUACUGAGCUGGUUUAGAGUGGGCAGGAAGCCCAAAAUGGCUUUACCCAUGUAAAAAAGCACAUAUUGUAUUGCCACUAUAUGGUGAUUUUGGUGGCAACCUACUUCUGGAAACAAAUGCUAUAUACCACUGGCCACCUGGCCCCAGCUUUUCCUCUGCCAUUACCAAGAAAAACUGGUAUGGCAGCCUGGGAUUGGGGAUGAUUUUGUAACUGUCCAACUCCCUAAUUGAAGUAUCCUGAAUGAGAUGCCCAUGAAUUCAUGAGGCUGUUGUAUAGUGGCUUAGACUAUUGUUCCAUCUAACUUAAUACUGUCCACUACAACUAUGAGUGGCUCUCCAGGUUCAUAGGGUGGGAGUCUUUCCUGGUCCUUUAGGAAGAGAUCCUGCCAUAUGUGGUGGAACUGUAGUAAAGUGAAGGGCUUUGGGGAAUUAAUUUAUAACGAACUUAAAUUUUUUAAAAAAUAUACCUUCCCAAAAAGACCUGAAGCUUUCCUACUGGGAUUAGUGGGAAAGGAAAUUGAAAAAAAAAAAGAUAAGAAUUUAUUUCUAUAUGCCACAACAGCAGCCAGAAAUAUGCUAGCCCAGAAUUGGAAAACGGAUGUAAUACCUAAUAUAAUGGACUGGCAGGUCAAAAUGAUGAAUUAUGCAGAACUGGCUAAAUUAACAGGGAAAUUAAGAGAUCAGGACGAACAGAAGUUUCAAGAAAAUUGGAGUAAAUAUUUGAUGUAUAUAAGAAACAAUUGUAAAUCUCUGAAAACACUGGUAGGGUUGGAAUAACUCUUUCAGCGUGUGGUAGAUAAUAUGAUAUGUAAAAUACGAGAUUUCAGAUUUAUUUGAUACUUACCAAAGGAAUGGAGGGAAGUCUGAGGCUCGGUAGAGCCUAGCUUAAAUAUGUAACCUAUAAGUGUAAUAUAUGAAUAUAUGUACGUUCACUAAAAAUUAAUAAAAAUUAUUCUGC